This 447-nucleotide ribosomal RNA is filed under the name uncultured bacterium. RNAcentral describes it as "partial 16S ribosomal RNA". It matches the Rfam family "Bacterial small subunit ribosomal RNA", at positions 29 to 523 of the family's 1533-position model. The record is from RNAcentral.
AACGAACGCUGGCGGCAGGCUUAACACAUGCAAGUCGAGCGCCUCGCAAGAGGAGCGGCAGACGGGUGAGUAACGCGUGGGAAUCUACCGUGCCCUACGGAAUAGCUCCGGGAAACUGGAAUUAAUACCGUAUACGCCCUUCGGGGGAAAGAUUUAUCGGGGUAUGAUGAGCCCGCGUUGGAUUAGCUAGUUGGUGGGGUAAAGGCCUACCAAGGCGACGAUCCAUAGCUGGUCUGAGAGGACGAUCAGCCACAUUGGGGCUGAGACACGGCCCAAACUCCUACGGGAGGCAGCAGUGGGGAAUAUUGGACAAUGGGCGCAAGCCUGAUCCAGCCAUGCCGCGUGAGUGAUGAAGGCCCUAGGGUUGUAAAGCUCUUUCACCGGUGAAGAUAAUGACGGUAACCGGAGAAGAAGCCCCGGCUAACUUCGUGCCAGCCGCCGCAGUAA